UAAUCAGAAUGGAUUGCUAACGGAGGAAGGGUUCGUUCCCUAUAUGGGUUUGUUUCCUGAGAAUUCCCCUUGACUUCUACAUUGUAUAAUAUAUCCUGAACAAAACACAGCUAAAAAAGGAAAAUAGUAACACUGAUUCUACCCUAAAUAGCAUUUAAUACUGCCCAUCGCUGCAGUAUCUGAGAACAAGAUAUACUAUUGCUGAUGCAGUACAAAGUUCAUGGAAUAUCAAGUGUUGGUAAUCUGUGCUCUGAGCCUGUGAAUGUAUGUGCAAAUGGAUCAGAUCCACAGCUGGCAUCUGUCUGGCUCCAGAUCUGGUCCAGUAAGUUUCUAAAGAGUAGUUCAAGUCAGACCAUUGAAAACUUCCAAAAAAAGUCCCAGGGCAUAUGACAGAAAUGGCCAAGUGGGACAGCACAGUAGAAGAAAGAAAUCCUGUGGGUUCAUUUCUUUAAAGCACAGAAGUCAUUAAUCAUUUCUAUUCCUCGCCAUUUGAAACAGCUGCCUGCCUGCAUUUGCUAAGUAACUGCUUUCCUAACCACACAGAAACGAGGCUGUGGGCCCCAGAACGCUUAUGCUUCCAGAUAUUAACAAAUAAUUUCCCUCUUUCGCUGUGUCAAUGAGAGCACGUUAGCAUCCUUAGCAUCUGGUUUUGGUCGUGAAAUAACAUGCUAGUGUUUCCACACUUCAUGAAUUCCUUCCAAAAAUCUCGCUUAGUGCUUAUCUUCUCAGCUGAGGCUUCAGAAGUUCAAAGGCAUGACUUGAAAAUCUCAGCGGCCUUCUACCUUUUACCGGUGACGCAGAACAUUGCUCUUUAUCAAGUUAGUAAAUAAUCUCUCCUAUCAUGCUUAUUUGCUCAUCUUCUUGUAAAACUGAGUUACAUUUUCCAUGUAAGCUCUUUACUUCGAAAAGCACGCUGUCAUCUCUACAGGCUAUUGCAAUUAGUGAAAUGCCAGCCAGCAGGUGGAGACGCAUGAAAGCAAUCUCAAUUCAUAGACAGGCUGCUUUGACAUUUCAUUCCCAUAGCCCUGGCCAAGCACUAGAGCGGGCCAGAGCCAGAAAAUAUAGCUAUUGGUUUCAUGGAAAAGUUCAGAAUUAAAAUCUUGGAUGGCUGACAAACAUGUGACAGAGCAGCUUCUGCAGCAUGACUGCUGCACACAAAGCCGCACUAGCGAGCUGUCCCGGCAGCACCUUUCAUGUAGCAGUGCGUGGUGGAGGGAGGGAAGCCUGCUGCUGCUCCCUCCUGACCUCGCUUCAUUCACUUUGUUCAGCAGUCCGGAGCUGCCUGUCAGUGUCAGCUGUGCCGAGUGAUGCAAGGAGCCACGCGCGCCUCGCGAUUCAUCAGCUUCCAAGCUCUCUCUGCUGGAGAGCAAUCGAGCUCAGAGUGACUCAGGCUGGGGACUUUGGGAAUGCACGGCAGGAAUUUGCUACAUCGAGUCUGCAAAACUGCCUUCAGAUGAUUUCUCUGGCCAUUUAGAAGCCCUGUGUUCAUUUGACUCAGGUUUGCAGCACUGUAACAUCAGUGACUUCUGUGCUGUUGCCCCGACAGAGGAAUCGGCGUCCGCGUGAGCGUGCUUGUCAGGAGUUUACAGAUGACAAUGGUCACACGCGCACACUGCCUGACGAUAAG
This is a long non-coding RNA of Anas platyrhynchos (mallard), 1627 nucleotides long. RefSeq lists it as uncharacterized. NCBI's taxonomy places the organism in Eukaryota, Metazoa, Chordata, Aves, Anseriformes, Anatidae. The record is from RefSeq and is a predicted model, not a curated record.